This 253-nucleotide ribosomal RNA is filed under the name uncultured bacterium. RNAcentral's name for it is "partial 16S ribosomal RNA". It matches the Rfam family "Bacterial small subunit ribosomal RNA", at positions 524 to 776 of the family's 1533-position model. The record is from RNAcentral.
UACGUAUGGAGCAAGCGUUAUCCGGAUUUACUGGGUGUAAAGGGAGCGCAGGCGGCUUUGCAAGUCUGAUGUGAAAGGCCGGGGCUCAACCCCGGGACUGCAGUGGAAACUGUAAAGCUAGAGUGCCGGAGAGGUAAGCGGAAUUCCUAGUGUAGCGGUGAAAUGCGUAGAUAUUAGGAGGAACACCAGUGGCGAAGGCGGCUUACUGGACGGCAACUGACGCUGAGGCUCGAAAGCGUGGGGAGCAAACAGG